UUUUGCUUAAACAAUGAUGAAUAGCAGCGUAAACCUAUUGUUGAUAUUUUGUUCUAUUGCUAGAAUAACAGGGAAGACCUUCCUCAUAGAAACAGGCGAGGUGAACUCCCAAAAGAAAAAUGGUUCUGACUACCAAUGGAAGGUAAAUGUUCCAAGAUUCGAUGCUUCAAAUCUAGUUCCAAAUCCAGUCUUGGGUAAUGACUUUCUUCCGUCAGUGGUAGAUAUAGCACACCGGCACCUAAGCGCACCGUAUAAUUUUUAUGAAAAAAUUUAUGGGAAAAAAAAAUGAAAUCUUCUGUUUUAGAAUAAAAAGUAAAUCUAUCUGAA
Long non-coding RNA from Eurytemora carolleeae, 327 nucleotides. RefSeq lists it as uncharacterized. Lineage: Eukaryota; Metazoa; Arthropoda; Copepoda; Calanoida; Temoridae. The record is from RefSeq and is a predicted model, not a curated record. The transcript has 3 exons.